Molecule: long non-coding RNA, 3647 nt
Filed under: Oncorhynchus kisutch (coho salmon)
Lineage: Eukaryota; Metazoa; Chordata; Actinopteri; Salmoniformes; Salmonidae
Description: lncRNA (ENSOKIG00005006243.1)
Source: RNAcentral
UGUCACGACUUCCACCGAAGGUGGCUCCUCUCCCUGUUUGGGCGGUGCUCGGCGGUUGUCGUCACCGGCCUACUAGCUGCCACCAAUCCAUUUUCCUUUUCGUUUGUGUCUGUCUGUUUUGUUUACACCUGUGUCCUAUUAGUUGAUUUCGGUGGGUUUAUUAACCUCCGCUGCCUGCUUGUCUUUGUGCUGGAUUGUUUUGCUGUGGUUACUUUGUUAGGGGUGCGUGUCUGCACCACAGGGUUUUCUUUCUCACGGCAAUUGUACCGGUUUGGUAUGUGUUUAGGAGUAGAGGUUUCUCCCCCGUGUGUAGCGUUUAUUUCCCUGUGUGUGGCGACCUCGUUUGGGCGUAUUCCCCCCCAUGUUGUUGAGUUGCGACUUCUGAAUAAACUAUUGUGCCACUGGGACUUUCUUGCUCUCCUGCUCCUGAUUCCUGCACCUCCCUCCUUCUCGUGGGCACGUAACAGACUGGAUAUGCUGCCGUGCCAAAAUACAGAGGCAAGUGUCAAAGCAAACAUUCAGAGGUACAGUAUGUAGUCUAAUCAGCAGUUAGAGUGGAUCUAAUUAUGUUGUAACCAUUGCACCAUAUUAUGUAAACAUUACCUAGGCGCUCUACCGGUUAGCAUAUGUGCCCUGUGUUUAUGACAAGGGGGUUAAGGAGAUCAUAGACAGUAAUUGUGUCACCUUACAUUGCAGAAUAGACUGAAUAAAAAUGAAAGGUGUUGUUGCAUUUUAAUUACUUAGGAUCUGUCUACUCGCUUUUUUUCAUAAUCAUAAUCUCUAAUGUCUGAUGUGUUGGCUAGCCAUGGUCUAUUUGCAUGAAAACAUAUCAUGCUUUUAAAGCCUUGCGCCUAUUUGGUUGCAUGUAGUCUGGUCUAUUGUGUAUUAGUAACCCCCAACUCAUGACUAUCCUUAAAAUAUAAUACAUUUUAGUCCCAUUGCCAUAAAAAAUAUAUUACAGAAUAUAAACUUGGUAUCACUUUAUACUUGUAUGUUAGGAUGGAUGUUUUUCUUUGUCAAUACACAUAACAAUAAUUUGCCAUAUAACCCAAUCUAUAUCAACUGUCAAUACCUUUCAUAUUUAGAAUUGUAUGUAUCGUGAACUCACAUUGUGUCACAAAUAACAAUGAGGUCAAUUUCCGCAUCCCACUCACAUGUUAAGUCCUCAAUAGAUUGGUCUUCAAAGGACCAAGCAACAGCAAGCUCCUCUGGCACCCGUGUGAAAUGAUGUUGUCUCCUAGAUAUUUUCACACCUUUUCCCAAUGUCUGUUGUGUUGGCUAGCUAUGGCUUAUUUGCAUGACAACAUUUCAGGCAACUGUACAGCCUUGUGUGGAAUACCUGAACCCAGGAAGCAGACUUUUAGCACAAUGACCAUAGCAAAAAAGUUUUACAGGUUAGUAAACAUGGUAUCACUUGACUUGUGUGUUAGGGUGGAAGAAUAUAAACUUGGUAUCACUUGACUUGUGUGUUAGGGUGGAAGAAUAUAAACUUGGUAUCACUUGACUUGUGUGUUAGGGUGGAAGAAUAUAAACUUGGUAUCACUUGACUUGUGUGUUAGGGUGGAAUAAUAUAAACUUGGUAUCACUUGACUUGUGUGUUAGGGUGGAAGAAUAUAAACUUGGUAUCACUUGACUUGUGUGUUAGGGUGGAAGAAUAUAAACUUGGUAUCACUUGACUUGUGUGUUAGGGUGGAAGUUUUUCUUUGUCAAUACACAUUUUUAUUUUAUUUAACCAGGCAAGUCAGUUAAGAACAAAUUCUUAUUUACAAUGAUGGCUUACCCCGGCCAAACACGGACACAUAACAAUAAUAGUUUGGCUUAUAUCAAUGACAAUUUGGGCAGGACACACGCUACAACUGCCACUGGUACUUGAAGAACUUCAAUUAAUGGAUAAACCCGAUUGACUUUAUUUUUAUUAUAAAAUGUAUCAAGCAUGUAAACUGCGUCUUAAGAACACUUGCUCUUUCCAAAACAUAGACUAACAAGGUGAAUCCAGGUGAAAGCUAUGAUCUGUUAUUGAUGUCACUUGUUAAAUCCACUUCAAUCAGUGUAGAUGAAGUAUCAAGAAUGGGCCACCACCCAAAGGACAUCCAGUCAACUUGACACAACUGUGGGAAGCAUUGGAGUCAACAUGGGCCAGCAUACCUGUGCAACAUUUGACACCUUGUAGAGUCCAUGGCCCAACAAAUUGAGGCUGUUCUGAGGGCAUAAGGGGUUGCAACUCAAUAGUAGGAAGGUGUUCCUAAUGUUUUGUACAUUCAGUGUACAUCACACUCAGAAUACAUUAUGUUUAACAUAAUAUAAAGUACCAUCUUUCCUGUUAAAACAUAAGCUACCUGUAUUUUGUGAAACAUCAACAUUUAGGCUGUGUUCCUGAAACAGUCCAAGCAGUGGGUUGCCAAAACAAUCUAUUAACCAAAACAAUUCCAAUUCAUGGAGAUACUGGUUGACCAGGUGUUGGAGCGGCGACAAGAUCUGACGGUGGUUUACAGGGAUCCUUCAUCCCACCUGCCCAAGCAUAAUCUUCCAGACAACAUUGCCACAAUGGAGAGACCUGAUAAUGAGGAUCUGGUCAGAAUAAAUUGUUCCAGGAUUAAUGUUGCCAUAAACAGACUUUUGGGAUGCACAUACAAUAGUUGCUUACAUUGUGCUGAAUGCUAGGUUGUUUUGUUUUCUAUAUGCAACCAAAUGUCUUCCCUAAACAAUGUGUUCAUUUUGUGCUCCAUUUUUUGUGACUACAAAUAUAUUAUAAAAACAACAAAAUACUUGCUUUAUUGAUCUAUUUGCAUGGAUAUUCUUUAUUUUUACAGUCACAGUACGAAACCUGACACACAUCACAGGCUGGGAGCAGCACAUACUGUACCAGUGUGAAAACCCCAUAUGGCGAUAUUUAGCUUUAAUGGCAUUUACCACGCAGGAUGGGAGAGGAAUUAUGACUGCUGGACGCAGUGUCUCACCACGGAUGAACGACUCCAAAACGAUGUGGUAUGAGACCAGUCUGAACUGUCUGGAAUGACAAUUACAGAUCGAAGGGUAAAGUGGAUUUGAUAAUCUGGAGCAACAGUCAUGUUUUUUGACAAUAUGAAAACAGGUUCUUAUUUUCUGUUCUUUGAUUUGAUUUUUUGAUUUUGUGUGUGUGUGUGUGUGUGUGUGUGUGUGUGUGUGCGUGCGUGCGUGCGUGCGUGCGUAGGCGGGGACAUGUGUGCUGGAGUCAGAGCAGAUACUCAGCCCUGCCACUUCCAUGCUGCCAGAUCGUAAUUUCUGCUCAUUCUGCCCACUCUGACUCUGGUCCCUGUCUCCAGUCCCUCGUCUCGUCACCCUGCUACACUGUCCUGGAUUCCCCACUCUACUACUCCCUCAGAUUCCCCUCCAGACCUGCUUACACUGUCUCAACCCCUCUCGCCUCAGCCUCCACACCUGGUUUCCAGCAACCCGCCCAAGCUUCCCCUGACCUGCACUCUAUCUCCCCCUGUGUUUCAAUAAAUACCUUGGUAUACUUUAUCCCAGUCUCCUCGUCUGAGUCUGCUCUUUGGUUCCCCUGUUCCACUCCGCAUAACAUUUUGCUGUUAUUUCAAGUUCAAAUUGUAGGGCUAUAUUUCGUACAUUACCUUCAGAAUGUAUUCAUACCCCUUGAUUUAUUCCACAAU